CACAAGCAGCGGAGCGUGUGGUUUUAAUUCGUUUGCUACGCGAAGAACCUUACCUGGGUUUGACAUAUAGGUUGUAGGGAACUGAAAAGGGACCGACCCUUCGGGAGCCUAUACAGGUGUUGCAUGGCUGUCGUCAGCUCGUGUCGUGAGAUGUUCGGUUAAGUCCGCUAACGAGCGCAACCCUCGUCGUAUGUUAUAUGUGUCAUACGAGACUGCCGGUAAAAGCCGGAGGAAGGUGAGGAUGAUGUCAAGUCAGCAUGACCUUUAUAUCCAGGGCUACACACACGCUACAAUGGUCUGUACAAUGGGUAGCCAAGCCGCGAGGCGGAGCCAAUCCUGAAAGCAGGCCUCAGUUCAGAUUGCAGUCUGCAACUCGACUGCAUGAAGCCGGAGUUGCUAGUAACCGCAGGUCAGCAAUACUGCGGUGAAUACGUUCCCGGGUCUU
Molecule: ribosomal RNA, 445 nt
Filed under: uncultured Anaerolineaceae bacterium
Lineage: Bacteria; Bacillati; Chloroflexota; Anaerolineae; Anaerolineales; Anaerolineaceae
Description: bacterial SSU rRNA
Rfam family: Bacterial small subunit ribosomal RNA
Source: RNAcentral